Non-coding RNA from Pelodiscus sinensis (Chinese soft-shelled turtle), 2825 nucleotides. The record is from RefSeq and is a predicted model, not a curated record. NCBI's taxonomy places the organism in Eukaryota, Metazoa, Chordata, Testudines, Trionychidae.
GGUCUUUAAAAGAAAAGAUGUGCAAUAUAGUAACUAUAUCAGUUUAUAGCCUCACUGCUAUUUUAGUAUGUGACAACAGAGGGGAGAGAAGGAAGGAGGAAGGGGGAGCUGAGUCGGCUCUUCUCUUGUUUCCUUUUCCCUAGUGUGUGGACGGGGCACCCAGUUACGGCAGUGUCGGAGAAGGGAGAGGAGACCUUGCGACGACGCCUGGAGGACAUGGAGGUGGAGCCAAGCCAGUCAGGACUGAGGAGUGAGCCACAUCACCAGAGCCAGCUGCUAGAGCCCGGGGGACCCAGAAGUGUGCUAGGGCCCAGGAAGACCUCAUACGCCAGCAUGUCAGCGUCCUGCACAACAUGCUGCAGACUCUGGUGCAGAAGAGUUAACUUUCUCGUCUGACAACUUCAAGCAACAGGAAUGUGCCAAUGGAACAUUUGCAGUCGAAACAUGAAAGGAAAGUUAAGGCAUAUCCAGGUGUCAUUAUCUAUCAGUGUGGGUCCAUGUUCUCAGGGGAGCUGACAAUCUCUGCAGGAUCCUGAGCAAGAUGGAGAAUGGAAAGCCCUGUGCUCCCAGAAGGGGUGGGGCCUCAGGUGAAAAGGAGGGGCUGAGGGCAGCCCAUCCUCCACGUCAUCCAGAGCAUGGUGACUCCCCCUCCCUCAAUGCUCAGAACCACAUGGAGUGCACGGCAUGGCAUUCUAGCAGCAAUUUAAAGGGUCCGGGGCUCUGGCCACCUCUGCUGCCAUGGUAGCAGUGGUGGUGGCUGGGAAUUCCAAGCCCCUUUGAAUAGCUGAGCCAUAGGGAUAGUGAUCUCUUUUCCCACCCUGUUGGUGGGCCUGCAUAUUGUAAUAUUGUGGCAAUGUCAAAUAAAUUGUGUCAUCCUAGAUGUUCUUAAAUGUUUUUCUUACAAAAUUCCUGAUGCAAAUAUUGAUUUGAACACUAAUACUAAUAAUGAUUCUUUGAUCAUCAUCUUCUUCAUUAUUUAGAAAUUCUAGGAGGUACUUUACCCUUUCAAUGUUCCAUAGAAACACAUCCCAUAGAAGAAAAGACAUAGCUGGAUCAGAAAGUGAAAUUUUGAGUAAGUUGGAAAAGAUGAAUGAUCCUGCUUCACGGCUUUCUUUUAGGAAAAGGAAAACCUGUGCAUAGAGAACAUUUGUUGUGAUUUAGUGUCACAAUUAGUUUGGAUAAAAUAUUUAAUCUCACACUCUAUGUCUUAAUAUUUUUUCAGGAUUAUCCCAAUUUUAUGAGAGCAGUCAUGAUCCUACAAAUUUAGGCCUAUAUCUGCAAAGACUUGUAUGUAACUGAAGACCUUCAUGAUGGGAGAGAGAUAAAGUAAAUAGCUAGAAAAAAAUGAAUAGGGAUAGAGACUGAUUUACCACUACACUUUUAGAAAUGGGGCAUGAUUUUAACAACUUUGGCAUGGUAAUGUGGGGAGUCUGGAAGUGCUUUUUGUGCUCUACUUAUUUUACAGAUGAACUGAUAUAUUUAGUCUCUCUUCAAGGCUGUCUGUCUGGCACCUCUAACAAGAACUACGCUCCACCUCCCCCAGCACAUUCAGGUAUAUUAUAUUCUAGGAAAACUGCAAAAAUUGCAGAUAUUCUGUACUUUUUCCUUUCAGUGGCACACUUCCUAAGCAUCUUGUUUCUGCUUAAGAAAGUGUGAAUGCAAAUAUCUAUUUAGGAUCGACUGUGGUUUAAUGCUAUGUAAAAUGCUGUUUAAUUUACAGACGCUAAUAAAAUGCCUAACUGAAUACUAAAAAGUUCAGGUUUUCAUAAUACAAUACAGUAAAACUUUUAAAUUUAUGAUUAAUUUAUAGAUGACAAGAGUAUUAUCCAAGGAUUGGGGUUUGAUUUAAUUAUUUUAUUUAUUGCUUUAAUAUUUUUAUUUAGGAUUAACAGAGUUUAUGAUUAAACAUUAUUGAAAAUUCUGCUGUAAUGUGUUCAUCCUGGCAAAUCCAUAUCAGUGGAUGUGCACAAAGAAUGAAAAGUAGGUGAUAUUUGAUAAAUAUAAGAAGGCUUUAGGGCAUAUUUAUGAAGGAAUAUGUACACUCUUUACUAAAGAAAUAAUCUAUUUAACAGAAUACAGUUCACUGAUAAAAUAACACUGUACUUAAUAGACUAAGUACACUGCAGUAUAAGAGGGAUAGAUCCUGCAAAGUGAUGAAUGUAUCCUGUAAUGGGCUCAAUAUUAUUAACUCCCAAUAAAACUGAUAAAUGCUUAGCAUAUCUCAGGAACUGCUUGUUGCUCUGAACACUGCCUCUGUCCCUAAGUGGACAUGUGCAUCAAAUUACUAUAUAUCUAGUACAUUAUAGCUCAGAAAGUUUAAUAAAAAAAUUCCAGCCAAGCUUCAUAUUUUCUGAAUUUUAGAUUGAGCUGUUGGUGUAAAUCUUACUUUUAUUAUAAUUGUUCUUUACUUCUAUUAAAGUAUUCGGGAGCCCAGGAUGAAUGGCUUUUUAAAAAAAGUUGGUUAUAAAUUGAAAUAAAGACAUUACAUAAUGCUUAGUUACAAUGAAGUGAUGCUAUUCUUGACUGAGGAGUCAUGCUAUUUAGAACUAUUACAGUCACUCACAUAGGGCACGUCUAGACACAGCAGGGCGUAACUUGAAAUAAGCUAUACAAAUUGAGCUACGUCAAUUGUGUAGCUUAUUUUGAAAUAGCUUAUUUUUUAGUUUUGGUGCUGUCUACACAGCGCUUAUUUCGAAAUAGAGAACUCUUCCUUGAAUUCCCUUAGUCCUCAUAAAAUGAGGGUUACAGGAGUCAGAGUAAGAGGUCCUCCAGCUUAAUGGUAUUUUGACAUUAUGUCGAAAUAACUGCUGGCUGUGUAGAUGUGG